CGGCGGAGCAUGUGGCUUAAUUCGAUGCGACGCGAAGAACCUUACCUGGGCUUGACAUGCGGGGUGAAACCGUGGAAACAGCGCAGCCGACAGGUGUGACGAGCGCAACCCCUGUCCUUAGUUGCCAGCGGGACGUCAAGUAUCAUGCCCCUUAUGUCCAGGCUGCAUACAUGCGUGGUACAAGGGCUGCGAUCCCGUAAGGGGGAGCGUCCCAAAAAGCCACGCUCAGUUCGGAUCGAGGUGCAACCCGACCUCGUGAAGUCGGAGUCGCUAGUAAUCGAGAUCAGCACUGCUGCGGUGAAUACGUUCCCGGGCCUUGUACACACCGCCGUCACACCACGAAAGUGGGUAACACCCGAAGCCGGUGGCCCAACCCUUGUGGAGGGAGCCGUCGAAGUGGGAUCCGCGAUUGGGGUGAAGUCGUACAAGGU
Molecule: ribosomal RNA, 431 nt
Filed under: uncultured actinomycete
Lineage: Bacteria; Bacillati; Actinomycetota; Actinomycetes; Actinomycetales
Description: bacterial SSU rRNA
Rfam family: Bacterial small subunit ribosomal RNA
Source: RNAcentral